UACGAAGGGGGCUAGCGUUGUUCGGAAUUACUGGGCGUAAAGCGCACGUAGGCGGGUUGUUAAGUCAGGGGUGAAAUCCUGGAGCUCAACUCCAGAACUGCCUUUGAUACUGGCGAUCUUGAGUCCGGGAGAGGUGAGUGGAACUCCGAGUGUAGAGGUGAAAUUCGUAGAUAUUCGGAAGAACACCAGUGGCGAAGGCGGCUCACUGGCCCGGUACUGACGCUGAUGUGCGAAAGCGUGGGGAGCAAACAGG
RNAcentral lists this ribosomal RNA (253 nucleotides) under uncultured bacterium. RNAcentral's name for it is "partial 16S ribosomal RNA". It matches the Rfam family "Bacterial small subunit ribosomal RNA", at positions 524 to 776 of the family's 1533-position model. The record is from RNAcentral.